CCUACGGGCGGCAGCAGUGAGGGAUAGUGGUCAAUGGGGGAAACCCUGAACCAGCAACGCCGCGGGAGGGAAGACGGUUUUCGGAGGGUAAACCUCGGUCCUCGGGGAAGAGAAUGACGGUAGCAGAGGAGGAAGCUCCGGCGAACUACGGGCCAGCAGCCGCGGUAAUACGGAGGGAGCACGCGUGGUCCGGAUUUACUGGGUGUAAAGGGUGCGUAGGCGGCCCAGCAAGUAAGAAGUGAAAUCCAUGGGCUUAACCCGUGAACUGCUUUUGAAACUGUAGGGCUUGAGUGAAGUAGAGGCCGGCGGAAUUCCCGGUGUCGCGGUGCACUGCGU
RNAcentral lists this ribosomal RNA (336 nucleotides) under uncultured bacterium. RNAcentral's name for it is "partial 16S ribosomal RNA". It matches the Rfam family "Bacterial small subunit ribosomal RNA", at positions 338 to 691 of the family's 1533-position model. The record is from RNAcentral.